UACGUAGGCAGCAAGCGUUGUUCGGAAUUACUGGGCGUAAAGGGUGUGUAGGCGGUUCUUUAAGUUUGGUGUGAAAUCUCCCGGCUCAACCGGGAGGGUGCGCCGAAUACUGAGGGACUAGAGUGUGGGAGAGGAAAGUGGAAUUCCUGGUGUAGCGGUGAAAUGCGUAGAUAUCAGGAGGAACACCGGUGGUGUAGACGGCUUUCUGGACCAUAACUGACGCUGAGACACGAAAGCGUGGGUAGCAAACAGG
Molecule: ribosomal RNA, 253 nt
Filed under: uncultured bacterium
Lineage: Bacteria
Description: partial 16S ribosomal RNA
Rfam family: Bacterial small subunit ribosomal RNA
Source: RNAcentral